AGAUUUGGGAGCAAUCUGGCUACAGCAUCUGUCAGGCCACUGAUCUCCUGUGCUGAUUCAGUUGAUCUGGCUGGCGAGGCAGCCCUCCCUCCUGCCUUCUUCCCUAUCACUGCAUGUACCUCUCCUGAAGAUGCUCGGGUAGGGGAAGAUGACGGCCUUCCCUGCAGAGGAGAACCAGACAUCGGUUAAAGGCAUUCAAGUGGCUGCCUUCCUCCAUUAGAACCUUCCCGUGAGCUCGCAAGGAGCACACAUCACUCCACCACUACGUGUCUCGGGGUGCACUUAAAAGGGGGUUUGGAUUUUCUUUUAACUUACAGAAUAUUUUAUUUUUCCUAUCUCCAAAAUAAAAAACAA
Molecule: small nuclear RNA, 354 nt
Filed under: Mus pahari (shrew mouse)
Lineage: Eukaryota; Metazoa; Chordata; Mammalia; Rodentia; Muridae
Description: sRNA (MGP_PahariEiJ_G0008063.1)
Rfam family: 7SK RNA (bases 1-306)
About the family: 7SK was discovered as an abundant small nuclear RNA in the mid-70s but a possible function has only recently been suggested.
Source: RNAcentral